This 539-nucleotide long non-coding RNA is filed under the name Ananas comosus (pineapple). Its description in RNAcentral is "long non-coding RNA (ACOM_LNC012661)". The record is from RNAcentral. Lineage: Eukaryota; Viridiplantae; Streptophyta; Magnoliopsida; Poales; Bromeliaceae.
UACAGCACGGUUCAUUAAAUUAAAGGUAUAAUUAUCUAUAUACCCCUCGGACGUUUGAAAAUAUUCGAUUUAUCCUCUUUUUUUUUUCUUUCUAAAAUACCCCUCAUAUGUUCCACCGUUAUUACAAAAUACCCCCACAGUUAUCUCCUGUUAAGUUAACUUGAGUUAAACGUGAGUUAAACAUCUACCACAGUUACAAAAAAUUAAACUGCCAAUUUUGCCCUUAACUUAAGGGCAAAUAAGAAAUAUUGGUGACAGUAGAGAGGUAUAUUGAAAAAGACCAAAAGUCAAAAUAUUUUUUAUACCCCUAACUUUAAGGGCAAAUAAGAAAGCCAGUGAUGGUGGAAGGGUAUAUUUGAAAGGGCAAAAUAGUAAUUUUAUAGAGAUAACAUACUUAAUUAACAGAUUUUAACUCUAGAGGUAUAUUAAAAAUAGGUUGGAACGUAAAAAGGGUAUUUUCAAUAUUAGCCUUCUGAAAGGGGUAAAUCGAAAAGUCGGAAACUUUUCAGGAGUAUUUAAACAAUUGCCCCUAAAUUAAA